UGAGGACACAGCCUGGUCACUGAGGUCAGAGGAGGCGCUGAAAGGUUUCCCUAAUAGUUCCUGGUGAAUCAAAGCAGGACCAUAAAGGUUGCUGGACUGCAUGAUGGCCUUACCCCUGAGCAGUCAUCCUGUUAAAGGAGGAACCAGUUAGAAGCUGUUUUCAAAGUAGCUGAGCAGAUUUCAUCUCAAUAGAUCAAAGCAGCUCGUGCUCUGUCUGCUUCCAUUCUGAUGGCAAGAAGAAGAAGAAGGAGAAGACUUCAGCGAAGUGGCAUUCAUGGUCUCAGUGGACAGUCAUGGUCACACACUGCAUGUGGUUUUAAAAGCAACAU
Long non-coding RNA from Oreochromis aureus, 329 nucleotides. NCBI's taxonomy places the organism in Eukaryota, Metazoa, Chordata, Actinopteri, Cichliformes, Cichlidae. The record is from Ensembl.